GAUGAACGCUGGCGGCGUGCCUAAUACAUGCAAGUCGAGCGAACAGACGAGGAGCUUGCUCCUCUGACGUUAGCGGCGGACGGGUGAGUAACACGUGGAUAACCUACCUAUAAGACUGGGAUAACUUCGGGAAACCGGAGCUAAUACCGGAUAAUAUAUUUAACCGCAUGGUUCAAUAGUGAAAGACGGUUUUGCUGUCACUUAUAGCUGGAUCCGCGCCGCAUUAGCUAGUUGGUAAGGUAACGGCUUACCAAGGCGACGAUGCGUAGCCGACCUGAGAGGGUGAUCGGCCACACUGGAACUGAGACACGGUCCAGACUCCUACGGGAGGCAGCAGUAGGGAAUCUUCCGCAAUGGGCGAAAGCCUGACGGAGCAACGCCGCGUGAGUGAUGAAGGUCUUCGGAUCGUAAAACUCUGUUAUUAGGGAAGAACAAAUGUGGAAGUAACUAUGCACGUCUUGACGGUACCUAAUCAGAAAGCCACGGCUAACUACGUG
This 497-nucleotide ribosomal RNA is filed under the name uncultured bacterium. Its description in RNAcentral is "partial 16S ribosomal RNA". It matches the Rfam family "Bacterial small subunit ribosomal RNA", at positions 28 to 507 of the family's 1533-position model. The record is from RNAcentral.